RNAcentral lists this ribosomal RNA (464 nucleotides) under uncultured bacterium. RNAcentral describes it as "partial 16S ribosomal RNA". It matches the Rfam family "Bacterial small subunit ribosomal RNA", at positions 339 to 795 of the family's 1533-position model. The record is from RNAcentral.
CUACGGGGCGCUGCAGUGGGGAAUUUUGGACAAUGGGGGCAACCCUGAUCCAGCCAUUCCGCGUGAGUGAAGAAGGCCUUCGGGUUGUAAAGCUCUUUCAGCUGGAACGAAACGGUGCGCUCUAACAUAGCGUGCUAAUGACGGUACCAGCAGAAGAAGCACCGGCUAACUACGUGCCAGCAGCCGCGGUAAUACGUAGGGUGCGAGCGUUAAUCGGAAUUACUGGGCGUAAAGCGUGCGCAGGCGGAUUGUUAAGCAAGAUGUGAAAUCCCCGGGCUUAACCUGGGAAUGGCAUUUUGAACUGGCAGUCUAGAGUGCGUCAGAGGGGGGUGGAAUUCCACGUGUAGCAGUGAAAUGCGUAGAGAUGUGGAGGAACACCGAUGGCGAAGGCAGCCCCCUGGGAUGACACUGACGCUCAUGUACGAAAGCGUGGGUAGCAAACAGGAUUAGAUACCCGAGUAGUC